UACAAAUCCCACGAUUCCCUCAAUAAUCGCAUCAUCCAGGAGCUUCUGGAUCGCCCAGAUAAAGCCAGAGGAUUGAAGCUGACUGUGUUUACGUGAUUUUUUGGCUCUUCCUGACAGCAGAAGGGCGGAACAGCGAUGAAAAUGGACUUAAAUGCCAUCAUAGAGAAAAUGGAAACGGGCGACCAGGACGCCGCACUGACAGCUUUACAGACAUAUAAUAAAGAGAAAUCACAGUGCUUUUCAUUCACCUCUGGAGAAGAGGAGGACAGAGAGGAUGGAGAUAUGAUCGAGGUAUACGGAUAGUUCACUGUUUUAGACGUAGUGUAGCAUUAGUACAGAACCCAAAGCCUAUUUCUCAUUCCUGAUUUAAUGAUUUUGGUGCUUUGACUUCUGCAGAUUAACAAAGACGGUUUUAUACUGUAUCACAAGAUGCCGUGCAGAAAUAAAAAAAGAAAUACGCUUUGGGGAUUUUGUGUUUCGUGAGAAUCAGCGUGGUUUGGUAUCUGUAUUCUGUCAUAUUUCAUUUGCAUUGUUUACUGCAGGAAUGUUUUUCAGAACAUCGACGCUAGUAGUUGAUCGAUAUGUACUUUUAAUGGCCAAUGCUAAUAUCUCGGGUCAUAACCUUAAAAUGGGUCACAGGUCUGUUGUUGUGGGUGGAGGAAAGCAGAGAAAAAUCAAUUCUUUAUGUUGGCAAUGAAAUAUUAGGCUUAUAUUAAUGCAGGAGAGGAUAGAUUUUAAGAAGAGAGACAAAGGUUUGGUGCAACUUUGACUUUUACUGCAUUGAUUUAUUCAUUUGUUUAUUCAUUGCUAAAUGUUUACAUUUUAUUUAGUUUAGUUAUUAGUUUUAAUGUGUUUAGUUCAGGUCAU
This is a non-coding RNA of Danio rerio (zebrafish), 867 nucleotides long. The record is from RefSeq and is a predicted model, not a curated record. Lineage: Eukaryota; Metazoa; Chordata; Actinopteri; Cypriniformes; Danionidae.